GGGUUGUGAGGUUAAGCGACUAAGCGUACACGGUGGAUGCCCUGGCAGUCAGAGGCGAUGAAGGACGUGCUAAUCUGCGAUAAGCGCCGGUAAGGUGAUAUGAACCGUUAUAACCGGCGAUUUCCGAAUGGGGAAACCCAGUGUGAUUCGUCACACUAUCAUUAACUGAAUCCAUAGGUUAAUGAGGCGAACCGGGGGAACUGAAACAUCUAAGUACCCCGAGGAAAAGAAAUCAACCGAGAUUCCCCCAGUAGCGGCGAGCGAACGGGGAGGAGCCCAGAGCCUGAAUCAGCAUGUGUGUUAGUGGAAGCGUCUGGAAAGGCGCGCGAUACAGGGUGACAGCCCCGUACACAAAAGCGCAUGUGCUGUGAGCUCGAUGAGUAGGGCGGGACACGUGGUAUCCUGUCUGAAUAUGGGGGGACCAUCCUCCAAGGCUAAAUACUCCUGACUGACCGAUAGUGAACCAGUACCGUGAGGGAAAGGCGAAAAGAACCCCGGCGAGGGGAGUGAAAAAGAACCUGAAACCGUGUACGUACAAGCAGUGGGAGCCCCACCACCAAAGCAUUCUCUGGUGUUGAAGGCCCUGCAAAGCAGCAUCGCGGUGGCGGAGCGUCGUUUGCGACGCCCAACACACAAAACAAGCGGUGAAUGCUUUGGGGUGGGGUGACUGCGUACCUUUUGUAUAAUGGGUCAGCGACUUAUAUUCUGUAGCAAGGUUAACCGAAUAGGGGAGCCGGAGGGAAACCGAGUCUUAAUUGGGCGUUAAGUUGCAGGGUAUAGACCCGAAACCCGGUGAUCUAGCCAUGGGCAGGUUGAAGGUUGGGUAACACUAACUGGAGGACCGAACCGACUAAUGUUGAAAAAUUAGCGGAUGACCUGUGGCUGGGGGUGAAAGGCCAAUCAAACCGGGAGAUAGCUGGUUCUCCCCGAAAGCUAUUUAGGUAGCGCCUCGUGAAUUCAUCUCCGGGGGUAGAGCACUGUUUCGGCUAGGGGGCCAUCCCGGCUUACCAACCCGAUGCAAACUGCGAAUACCGGAGAAUGUUAUCACGGGAGACACACGGCGGGUGCUAACGUCCGUCGUGAAGAGGGAAACAACCCAGACCGCCAGCUAAGGUCCCAAAGUCAUGGUUAAGUGGGAAACGAUGUGGGAAGGCCCAGACAGCCAGGAUGUUGGCUUAGAAGCAGCCAUCAUUUAAAGAAAGCGUAAUAGCUCACUGGUCGAGUCGGCCUGCGCGGAAGAUGUAACGGGGCUAAACCAUGCACCGAAGCUGCGGCAGCGAACGUAUCACCCAAGACAACUUUACGGAGUUGACGAUUGACGGAGCGAAGCGACGUCAAAGCGUUCAUUAAAGUCGAGUUGGCUUAGGGAUACGUUCGUUGGGUAGGGGAGCGUUCUGUAAGCCUGUGAAGGUGUGUCGUGAGGCAUGCUGGAGGUAUCAGAAGUGCGAAUGCUGACAUAAGUAACGAUAAAGCGGGUGAAAAGCCCGCUCGCCGGAAGACCAAGGGUUCCUGUCCAACGUUAAUCGGGGCAGGGUGAGUCGACCCCUAAGGCGAGGCCGAAAGGCGUAGUCGAUGGGAAACGGGUUAAUAUUCCCGUACUUGGUGUUACUGCGAAGGGGGGACGGAGAAGGCUAUGUUGGCCGGGCGACGGUUGUCCCGGUUUAAGCGUGUAGGUGUGUGUUCCAGGUAAAUCCGGUUCACUUUAACACUGAGGCGUGACGACGAGGCACUACGGUGCUGAAGCAACAAAUGCCCUGCUUCCAGGAAAA
RNAcentral lists this ribosomal RNA (1769 nucleotides) under Salmonella enterica subsp. enterica serovar Typhimurium. RNAcentral describes it as "partial 23S ribosomal RNA". It matches the Rfam family "Bacterial large subunit ribosomal RNA", at positions 1 to 1616 of the family's 2925-position model. Lineage: Bacteria; Pseudomonadati; Pseudomonadota; Gammaproteobacteria; Enterobacterales; Enterobacteriaceae. The record is from RNAcentral.